UUUUUGGUGUAUCCAUCAUUUAUCAGCAAUUGGAGGGACCUCCCUGUGGGAGCCCUCCAUAUUUAGUCUUUCCUAUUAUCUAUAUAUUAUUUCUGGGUACAAGCCCACAUUGAGGUGGAGCUGAUACCACCGUCCUGACCCAUCUUUUUCCUGCCCCUGUUCCCAGUGUUUUUUUGCUGGUCAGGAUAGUAGGAAAAUUAAUUUUCUCUUUAA
This is a non-coding RNA of Pelobates cultripes (western spadefoot toad), 213 nucleotides long. The record is from the annotation of a GenBank genome assembly. Lineage: Eukaryota; Metazoa; Chordata; Amphibia; Anura; Pelobatidae.